This 532-nucleotide ribosomal RNA is filed under the name uncultured archaeon. RNAcentral's name for it is "bacterial SSU rRNA". It matches the Rfam family "Archaeal small subunit ribosomal RNA", at positions 45 to 582 of the family's 1478-position model. The record is from RNAcentral.
UAAGCCAUGCGAGUCGAAUGUAGCAAUACAUGGCGUACUGCUCAGUAACACGUGGACAACCUACCCUCCGGACGGGUAUAAACCCGGGAAACUGGGUAUAAUCCCCGAUAGAUCUCGGUCGCUGGAAAGCCCCGGGAUCGAAAGCUCCGGCGCCAGAGGAUGGGUCUGCGGCCUAUCAGGUAGUAGUGGGUGUAGCGUACCUACUAGCCUACGACGGGUACGGGUUGUGAGAGCAAGAGCCCGGAGAUGGAUUCUGAGACACGAAUCCAGGCCCUACGGGGUGCAGCAGGCGCGAAAACUUUACAAUGCCGGCAACGGCGAUAAGGGGACCUCGAGUGCCAGGUUACAAAUCUGGCUGUCGUGAUGCCUAAAAAGCAUUGCAUAGCAAGGGCCGGGCAAGACCGGUGCCAGCCGCCGCGGUAACACCGGCGGCUCGAGUGGUAACCGUUAUUAUUGGGUCUAAAGGGUCUGUACCCGGCCGGAUAAGUCUCUUGAAAAAUCCAACAGCUCAACUGUUGGGCUUUCAGGAGAU